GGCCUGGGUCCUAGAAAGCUUAGGAUCCUAUGCAAAACCCUACUCUAACUCAUUUCAAGUGUCUGGAAAUGUAGUACAUGCCGUGGAUGUACGUCAGGCUUUCAUAGUACUUUUCUGACCACGGUUUUCUGGAGUUUUUUCGUAUGGAGUUUGUAAGCUUCCUGACAUGGAUUAUAACUGUACUUGAUGGAGCACAGUUAUAAUAGCUGCUUUAGAGUCCUUGAUAAUUCCCACAUCUGAGUCAUCUCAAGUUAUUUUUGGCAGAUUUUGAUGGAUGUACAUUGAUGGAUAGCCACGUGGAUCCAGAAAAUAAAGACGGCGUCUCGCUGUGUUACCCAGGCUGGAGUGCAGUGGCGCGAUCUCAGCUCACUGCAACCUCACCUCCCGGGUUCAAGUGAUUCCUCUGCCUCAGCCUCCGGAGUAGCUGGGACUACAGGUGCGUGCCACCAUGCCUGGCUCAUUUUUUUUGUAUUUUAGUAGAGACGGGGUUUCACCAUGUUGGCCAGGAUGGCCUCGAUUUCCUGACCUUGUGAUCCGCCCGCCUCGGCCUUCCAAAGCGCUGGGAUUACAGUCAUGAGCCACCGUGCCCGGCCAAAUGUAUCUAUUUUUUAAUAGUUUGUACUUGUUGUUCUCUAUUUAAGAAAUGUUGUUUGCCUAUCUGAAAACCAAAAAAACAAACAAACAAACAAAAAAAAA
RNAcentral lists this long non-coding RNA (696 nucleotides) under Homo sapiens (human). RNAcentral's name for it is "novel transcript". The record is from RNAcentral. Lineage: Eukaryota; Metazoa; Chordata; Mammalia; Primates; Hominidae.